This 240-nucleotide unclassified non-coding RNA is filed under the name Hevea brasiliensis (rubber tree). The record is from RNAcentral. Lineage: Eukaryota; Viridiplantae; Streptophyta; Magnoliopsida; Malpighiales; Euphorbiaceae.
GGCAGGUAUGUGAACAACAAAGGCAGAGAAAAUGAGAGGAGAUUUAUGGGAAGCAGGAAGGGAAGUGGGGAAUAAGUUCAAGAAAAGGAGUUUACAAGACGAGGCAUGAUGAUAACGAUGAUGAUGAUGAAUUCAAAAGGAGGAUUGGACUGGUUCAAAGAGAAGGAAGAGAGAGAGAAAGAGAGGUCAAACCUCCUUUCUAGAGAGACUGCCCUCCUAACCUCUUUUCCUUCCUUUCUC